RNAcentral lists this long non-coding RNA (733 nucleotides) under Helianthus annuus (common sunflower). Its description in RNAcentral is "hypothetical non coding rna". The record is from RNAcentral. Lineage: Eukaryota; Viridiplantae; Streptophyta; Magnoliopsida; Asterales; Asteraceae.
GUAGGUUUUACGUAAGUGUCCUUCCUGACUCCGGAAGACAGUAGCAUGUAUAGUCUAGUAAUCGUGUAAGUACGAGAAAUCGUUCAAUUCCAUUAUUCAACCCAUUCCCAAUCCCCGGGAAUCCCAUGCCUUGGUAAAGAGUGUGAACUCACCUUGGUUUGCUCGGUAUGUUAUUGCUUCUAGUGUUAAUUUAUGAUUAGGUCCGUUACACACAACCUAGGGUACAUUGCACAUAAACUCGAUGUGAGUGUUUACGUUCAAUUAGGGUUUACAAGUCCUUGAUGUCCAAACAACUGUGAUUCGUGUGAAAGUGAUGUACAGAAUGAUAACACACAGUAAUAUACAGUUACAUUCAGCAAUAUACAGUAACAUGCAAAGUGUUCCUCAUACAGGAUUUUGACUUAGCACCAUAAGCAUCAUAAGUAAACUCAGACAAUUCAUCAACAAACGUCGGAUCAUUCAUAAAGCAUAAAGUUCAGACUAUGUAUCAAGCAUAAAACUCGGACUAGGUUAUCAAGCAUAAAAGUUGGACAAGAUCAUCAAGCACCAAUAAUUCGGACUAGAUCAUUCAAAAGUCGAACCUUGUGUCCUAGUUACAAAAGUCGGACACCCCCCCAUGUGCUUAAAGUUCAGACUUUACACCAUAUUCACAAAUUCGGACCAUAUGACAUAUACAAAAGUCGGACCAUAGGCAACAAUACAUGAAACUCGGACCAUGUUUAAGAUUAAGUUC